Molecule: ribosomal RNA, 253 nt
Filed under: uncultured bacterium
Lineage: Bacteria
Description: partial 16S ribosomal RNA
Rfam family: Bacterial small subunit ribosomal RNA
Source: RNAcentral
UACGGAGGGGACUAGCGUUGUUCGGAAUCACUGGGCGUAAAGCGCACGUAGGCGGCUUUUUAAGUCAGGGGUGAAAUCCUGGAGCUCAACUCCAGAACUGCCUUUGAUACUGGAAAGCUUGAGUCCGGAAGAGGUGAGUGGAACUCCGAGUGUAGAGGUGAAAUUCGUAGAUAUUCGGAAGAACACCAGUGGCGAAGGCGGCUCACUGGUCCGGUACUGACGCUGAGGUGCGAAAGCGUGGGGAGCAAACAGG